CCCAUGCCAUUUCCUCCACCACCGACGGUGCUCUACACCCAAAUUUUUGAAACUGACCAAAUAUAAUGUCACCCAUAUUUUUGAAAUCAACCUACACCUCAACGUCGACCAACAUUCAGGGAUUAUUUCCCUGAACCUACGAACAACAUUAACAGAGGAAACACAGGGAACGACAACCGAUGAAACGAAAGCGGCGACGAGAAAGGUCAAGAGUAGCGCGACAGAGGAGCAUGCAGAGAGUCAGGCUCUUAACCAGAGUUAGGGUUCAAAAAUGACGGGACUUGUGGUAGAGCUCUUAGUUGGGUUCAAACAUUACUCGGAGUCUGGAUUUAUUAGAUUGGGGGAAGAAAAGUGACUUAUGGUAGGGCUCUCAGUUGGUUAACUCUUUGACAUAGCAAUCUUCAAAUCGCAGAAUGUAUGUUUUCAAGAUGGGGUUAUUUGAUUUG
Molecule: long non-coding RNA, 446 nt
Filed under: Ricinus communis (castor bean)
Lineage: Eukaryota; Viridiplantae; Streptophyta; Magnoliopsida; Malpighiales; Euphorbiaceae
Description: long non-coding RNA (RCOM_LNC003792)
Source: RNAcentral